UGUACAAAUGAUGAUUUUGAUACCGCCCCAGUCUGAUUUCUUCAUGACUGUUUGGUAUUACUGACGAACUGUG
Small nucleolar RNA from Hyalella azteca, 73 nucleotides. The record is from RefSeq and is a predicted model, not a curated record. Lineage: Eukaryota; Metazoa; Arthropoda; Malacostraca; Amphipoda; Hyalellidae.